AUGGUGCCCGAUGGCAAGGCCCCCGCAAUGGGUGCCCGUCAGCUAGCUGCCGUCAUGCUCGCCGAGUGCCAGAGUUGCCGCAGGAGUGGACACCUUCUACCGACAAUCCUAUACCGCAUGCCGGUCGCCCGCAAGCGACCUGGUGCGCACCCCCUCGCGUGCUGGGCGUUUGUAAGGGCCGACACGAAAAGAGGGGAGUCUGACCCUGUCGCCGCCGUCCUCCUCUCCGCGCCCGCUCCCUCCGCCUCCUCUCUCUCACCACGCUCUCCCGCCGCCGCGCUCCACUCCCUCCUCGCCGCGCGCGCACUCCCAUGCUCUUACCCCCGCCUCCCUCGCUCCUCCUCUCCCUCCCGGAGUGCCACCGCCUCCCGCCCCCCUCCGCCCGCCUCCUCCCCAGGCUUCUUUCGCGCCCCUGCUCUUCCCCCGCCCAGGCAGCCGGAUUCCUCCGCGCCGGUCACCUCUCCGUUCAACCCCCUCUUGGCCGCGCUCGCCCGCGUCCUCUACCUCCCUGGCACGACCCAGCUCUUUGCCUCCAUGCGCAACGCCGCCGUCCGGCCCGACGUUGCCUGGUAUGGCAUGCUUGCCAACGGGCUCUGCAAAGCCGGCCGCGCGCAGGGCGCUCGAUGA
Molecule: ribosomal RNA, 627 nt
Filed under: Triticum aestivum (bread wheat)
Lineage: Eukaryota; Viridiplantae; Streptophyta; Magnoliopsida; Poales; Poaceae
Description: partial small subunit ribosomal RNA
Source: RNAcentral